CAUUGCACGGAAGUAUUUUGGAUACGAAGGAGGAGCCGUUGGUUUGACGAAGAUAAGCUCGCCUCGGUUUCCUCCCAAUUAAAUAAGCAGACGACGAUUACACUGCCAUGCUAAGGAAAAACGCCGUAUGAACCUUCAGGCGUUGCCAAAUUUCCUUUGAUAAAACAGGAAAUUCCUAGUAAACAUAUAGAUAUUUUCCUUUCAAUUUUUCAGAUAAUUUUCUACGCAAUUUCACCUAGAGCUCCUGAAAAUUCCAAGGGAAAAUAUUCAUAACUUUCCUCAAAAUAAACUUUUUAUCGAAGGGAAUGUGGCAACUCUCGAAUGUUCAUACGGCGUUCUUCCUUAGCACGGCAGUACAGUAGUGGAAAUAAUGGUCGCGAAGAUGGGGGGGGGGGGGGGCAGAUUAAACAUUAGCGUACACGUGAGGUGUAAGUUCUGUUGUGAGGUUAAAAUUAAGUGCGCUUACGUAAGUGGCCGUCGCGCCGCGGUCAUGCCGAUCACAGCGUCCACUCACAAUCAACUGACAUCACAGUGUUGUGUCCAGCCGUGCAUUCCUCUUGCCAUCAUGUUUUCCGAGAGUUUUCUUCCUCUGAAAAUCUCUUUACAGAUGAAAAAGCUGAUCACUUCCAUAUAUUAUUAGUCAUCAUGAGAACCAUCAAGAACCAUAUAUAAUCGAUCAUCAUCAAGUGAAUUUAAGUGUUAACUUACAUUAACAAGUUCUGCCUCGGUCAAUUAAUUACGUUGUUAUGAAAAGUAGGACAUCUCAAAUGAACAUACUUUCGGGAAAAGGAACCAUGUGCAUAGGUUUCGCGUACUUCAUAAUUCCUUUUAAAUUCAAUGCAUUUGCAACUAAUUUUCUUUAGCUUAAAUGCGUCUUAAUAUAGUUUCUUACGUCAUCACUUGUAAGUUACAUAAUUUUUUUUGCUUACCGAAGUUUGCUUUGUGUAUAGCAAAAAAGUCUCCCAAAUCUAGAUGAUGAGCAGUAUAACUUUGAGUUACUUUAUUUGAAAGACGGUUUACCUCGUACUGAUUUCCCACACGUCUGGCCAUGGCUGAUUCUCAACCGCUGAAUUUUUUAUCAACUCUAAGAGCCUGGUUCUGGCAACCAAGGCACCCCAUUACAACGCCCGUUGAAUCUGCAAACCCUUAAAAUUGCACAGGGCAAAAAUACCUCAGUUUUACAAACUGAUAGAUUCGACAGGCUCCUUCAGCCUAGUUUUAAAUAGUUUUUCAUCUUUGAUUGACAUUCUUAUAAUCUGCCUUCAGAAAAUAUGACGGGCGCAAAAUAAUUACGCCGAAAACACUUAAUGCAACUUGUUGAACGCAUUAUUAGAUUUCCAUGUUGCGUGUGCUCACACAUGAAGACGCCCGUCUGGUUAUAUUCUUGCCAGAGUAGCAAAUUGCGAUGCGUAAAUAUAAAAAUCUAUCCUCGGUGAGGCAGCGCGAGGUCCUCACAUAAAUCGAUAUUUGUAACGGAUUUAAAUGGAUGAAAACAGUGUUGCUAACUUGCAAAUUCGCCAGUGCCUUUUGUCAGCCGAGCCACGUUAUAGGAGGAAGCCAUCCAAAAAUGAGGAAGGUAUGGAAAACCGUAUAGUAUAAAAUACGAGCGUCACAUUUUCAGAAACACAAUGAGUCCGCAACUUUAAGUAUUGGUUGAAAGUGCAAGAGAAUCCUAGUAGCGAUGUUUAAAUGCAAAUUUUUAAAUUCACCAGAUAUUCAUAUUGCAUAUAUACACACAAGAAGACUCUCUAAUUAUUUUUGUCAAAGUAGCAAACCUCGAUCCGACGUAACGAUAUCUGCAGCGCCCUAAAUGUUUCGUUUAUGCAGUACGCACACCUACAGGGCAUGACAAGUUGCAUCAAGCCGUUGUUGUCAUAAUUAAGCUAUGUCUGUUGAUCAAAACACCAAUUCGAGUCGACUUAUUUAUGAUUAUGAUUAUUAUAUCACCGCAAAGGAAGAGCCGUAAUCCCUGGGAGUUUUAAAAGGGACGGCACGUUUUCCCAAAAAAUUGUGGCGUACGAAAACGCUGAAAGAUGUCGAACAAAAUCGAAUUUAUGGCGGGGCUUGAUACACUUUAAAACUGCAAUUUAAGGAAAAACUACUCAGAGUAUUUGUAUAGAUUCGAAAAUAUUCGAUUGAAUUUAAAGUUUACCAGCUGCACAACCAAUAAACUGAAUCGAUCGCAAUCCAUGCAUUUUAUAGGAUACAUCAAUUUUUGAGUCUCCAUCCGAAACUUAUGCAUCAUUUUUCUCACCUCUCUUAAUAAAUUUUCAUCAGGGAAUUGAAGUCAUUUUUGUCCUUUCCUCAUGAACGAUCAAAAUUAAGUCAGAGAAAGGAAUCAAAUCAGAUUUCGAUAACUAUUCAGAUGUCUCAUCAGUAAAACUGAACACGGAGAAAGGAACUGCAUUGAUUCUUACUAAGCAUCUCAUCAAGCAGGACUGCUUAGAAGGAAGGCAAUUUUUUCUUG
This 2467-nucleotide long non-coding RNA is filed under the name Bemisia tabaci. Its description in RNAcentral is "lncRNA ENSSSA2NGG002232". The record is from RNAcentral. Lineage: Eukaryota; Metazoa; Arthropoda; Insecta; Hemiptera; Aleyrodidae.